GAAAUGCGAUAAGUAAUGUGAAUUGCAGAAUUCAGUGAAUCAUCAAAUCUUUGAACGCAAAUUGCGCUCUCGGGAUAGGCCUGGGAGCACGCCUCUUUGAGUAUCGUUUCAACCACAACUCGAAAGCGUGCUUAAUUGCAUCGCUGACGGAAAUUGAGUGUCUCGAGAAAUUUGAGACACUUUAAAUGAAGCGAGUGACAUGAUUCAGAUUUGAAAUGCUCUUUGUCUCGAGUGACGAGGAUAACUUCACAUUCAUUUGUGAACCCUUCCAUCGUGACUUCAGAGGCUCGGAUUGUUUCGCGGUCUGUGAUCAAUAUGUCACGGAACUCUGUUGCUCGUCCCCUGCGGCGACUGCAGAACGUUUUUGAACUAGAUCUCAAAUGAAGCGAGAAAACCCGCU
Molecule: unclassified non-coding RNA, 400 nt
Filed under: uncultured fungus
Lineage: Eukaryota; Fungi
Description: sequence contains ITS1
Rfam family: 5.8S ribosomal RNA (bases 1-106)
Source: RNAcentral